This 253-nucleotide ribosomal RNA is filed under the name uncultured bacterium. Its description in RNAcentral is "partial 16S ribosomal RNA". It matches the Rfam family "Bacterial small subunit ribosomal RNA", at positions 524 to 776 of the family's 1533-position model. The record is from RNAcentral.
UACGUAGGGCGCAAGCGUUGUCCGGAAUUAUUGGGCGUAAAGAGCUCGUAGGCGGCUUGUCACGUCGGGUGUGAAAGCCCGGGGCUUAACCCCGGGUCUGCAUUCGAUACGGGCAGGCUAGAGUGUGGUAGGGGAGAUCGGAAUUCCUGGUGUAGCGGUGAAAUGCGCAGAUAUCGGGUGGAACACCAGUGGCGAAGGCGGUGCUCUGGGCCGGAACUGACGCUGAAUGGCGAAAGCGUGGGUAGCAAACAGG